This is a long non-coding RNA of Amaranthus tricolor (Joseph's coat), 812 nucleotides long. RefSeq lists it as uncharacterized. Lineage: Eukaryota; Viridiplantae; Streptophyta; Magnoliopsida; Caryophyllales; Amaranthaceae. The transcript is spliced from 3 exons. The record is from RefSeq and is a predicted model, not a curated record.
UUUCAGUAAAAAAUUCAGCAACAUUUUUGGAGCCUUGCAUAAUCUCAGAAACUUGUUGUUGGAGGGAAUAGAGUUGCGGAGCAGAUACAUAGCCAUAUCUUUCUUCAAGAUCGUCCCAAAUGUCCUUGGCUGUUUGCAGAUAUAGCACACUUUUGGCAAUAGUUGGAUCAAGAUUGAACAAGAUCCAGGAUAUCAUUAGAUCAUUGCAUCUUUUCCAUGCUGAAUACAAUUUAUCAUCUGUUGUUGGUUCAGGAUGUAAGUAGUAUGGACUGGUGAAAUCUUGACUUUGAGGAAAAUUUUGUGAUGAAUGUUCAGCCAUAAGCAGAGGAUUAGAAGACAUAUUUGAGAAGAAUGUAAGAAAGAUGAAAAACAGGAAAAGAAUUGAUCAAAAGAAAAAAAAAAAAAAAAAAAAAAAAAAAAAACUUAUAACGAAUUUGAACUGGAUUAGAUGAAUAAGGAUGAAAUCAGUAAUCAGAAAUGAAGAGAAAGAAUCAAGAAUGAAGAACAAGAAAACAGAUCAUGAACAAGAAAUUUCAACAAUUCAACUUACAACAAUCUGUAUUUCAAGGAAAGGAAUCGAAUUCAAUCAGCCAUCGUUUCUUGAAAUUGGCGUGAAAAAUGGAGGUAACAGCAAUUUCGUUGAAGUUUCCAAGAAAUUAUACUCCAUAGUGGCAUGCACACAUCCUGAAUUUUGUGAGGCGGAAGCAAGGAAUGGAUCGGGGUUUAGUCUGAUACCAUGAUGAAAUCAGCAAAAACAAAACAAGGAAAAACAUAGAAGAUCAGAAAGAAGGAGGAGAAGAAGGAAGAUGGGA